GCGUGGUUGGCCGAGCGGUUAAGGCGCUGCAUUCAAGAUAACUUGAUAUCUUACUCGUACUGAGUCUCGCAGUCCAGGAAUGGACCAGGGUUCGAAUCCCUGACCACGCA
Molecule: transfer RNA, 110 nt
Organism: Penicillium steckii
Lineage: Eukaryota; Fungi; Ascomycota; Eurotiomycetes; Eurotiales; Aspergillaceae
Rfam family: tRNA
About the family: Transfer RNA (tRNA) molecules are approximately 80 nucleotides in length. Their secondary structure includes four short double-helical elements and three loops (D, anti-codon, and T loops).
Source: Rfam